UACGAAGGGGGCUAGCGUUGCUCGGAAUCACUGGGCGUAAAGGGUGCGUAGGCGGGUCUUUAAGUCAGGGGUGAAAUCCUGGAGCUCAACUCCAGAACUGCCUUUGAUACUGAAGAUCUUGAGUUCGGGAGAGGUGAGUGGAACUGCGAGUGUAGAGGUGAAAUUCGUAGAUAUUCGCAAGAACACCAGUGGCGAAGGCGGCUCACUGGCCCGAUACUGACGCUGAGGUACGAAAGCGUGGGGAGCAAACAGG
This 253-nucleotide ribosomal RNA is filed under the name uncultured bacterium. RNAcentral's name for it is "partial 16S ribosomal RNA". It matches the Rfam family "Bacterial small subunit ribosomal RNA", at positions 524 to 776 of the family's 1533-position model. The record is from RNAcentral.